GCCAGGCAUGGUGGUGCAUGCCUGUAAUCCCAGCUAUUUGGGAGGCUGAGGCAGGAGAAUUGCUUGAACCCUGGAGGCUGGGGUUGCAGUGAGCCAAGAUAAUGCCACUGAACUACAGCCUGGGUGACAGAGUGAGACUCUGUCUCAA
RNAcentral lists this signal recognition particle RNA (148 nucleotides) under Homo sapiens (human). RNAcentral describes it as "Metazoan signal recognition particle RNA". It matches the Rfam family "Metazoan signal recognition particle RNA". From Rfam's summary of the family: The signal recognition particle (SRP) is a universally conserved ribonucleoprotein. The record is from Rfam by way of RNAcentral. Lineage: Eukaryota; Metazoa; Chordata; Mammalia; Primates; Hominidae.